RNAcentral lists this transfer RNA (74 nucleotides) under Victivallis vadensis. It matches the Rfam family "tRNA". Rfam says of the family: Transfer RNA (tRNA) molecules are approximately 80 nucleotides in length. Their secondary structure includes four short double-helical elements and three loops (D, anti-codon, and T loops). Lineage: Bacteria; Pseudomonadati; Lentisphaerota; Lentisphaeria; Victivallales; Victivallaceae. The record is from Rfam by way of RNAcentral.
GCACCCAUAGCUCAAUUGGAUAGAGCGUCUGGCUACGGACCAGAAGGUUAGGGGUUCAAAUCCCUUUGGGUGUA